GGAUGUGAGGGGGAUGUGGCUGUGACAUUUGCCACCCCAUCGAUCGCCAGGGUUGAUUUGGCUGAUCCGGUUGGCUGGGCAGCUGUCCCCCUCACCACUCCAUGUCCGUCCCUUCUGAAGCUGCAUGCUUAGUGGAAAAGGAUGACCAUCCUCGAUAGAAGGGAACUGGUCUUCAGUCAAGGGUCUAAGAGUAGCUGUGCUCCCCUGCUACAACCUCCAAACGAGCUCUCAUUCUUGAUUUUAUUAUUUUAAGUCUUCUUUCUUAUUUUUCUUGGUCAGUCUAGCUAAAGUUUGUCAAUUUUGUUGAUCUUUUUCAAC
This is an unclassified non-coding RNA of Gorilla gorilla gorilla (western lowland gorilla), 318 nucleotides long. Its record names the gene 7SK. It matches the Rfam family "7SK RNA". From Rfam's summary of the family: 7SK was discovered as an abundant small nuclear RNA in the mid-70s but a possible function has only recently been suggested. Two independent studies have found that 7SK RNA binds the CDK9/cyclin T complex (known as elongation factor P-TEFb). P-TEFb activates transcription by phosphorylating the C-terminal domain of RNA polymerase II. The record is from Ensembl. NCBI's taxonomy places the organism in Eukaryota, Metazoa, Chordata, Mammalia, Primates, Hominidae.